GAGGUAGCUUGGUGGCAGAGCACUUGCCUAGCAUGCAUGAAGCCCUGGGUUCAAUUCCCCAGUACCUCG
Molecule: transfer RNA, 69 nt
Filed under: Fukomys damarensis (Damara mole-rat)
Lineage: Eukaryota; Metazoa; Chordata; Mammalia; Rodentia; Bathyergidae
Rfam family: tRNA
About the family: Transfer RNA (tRNA) molecules are approximately 80 nucleotides in length.
Source: Rfam by way of RNAcentral